GAGUUUGAUCCUGGCUCAGGACGAACGCUGGCGGCGCGCUUAACACAUGCAAGUCGUACGGAGUCACUCUUUCGGGGGUGGCUCAGUGGCGAACGGGUGCGUAACACGUGAGCAAUCUGCCCGGACGGGGGGGAUAACUGGGGGAAACCCCAGCUAAUACCGCAUAGGCGCGGGGCCCGAGUGGGUCCGGCGUGAAAGCCUUUGGGCCCGUCUGGAGGAGCUCGCGGCGUAUCAGCUAGUUGGUGGGGUAACGGCCCACCAAGGCGACGACGCGUAGCUGAUCUGAGAGGAUGAUCAGCCACAUUGGGACUGAGAUACGGCCCAGACUCCUACGGGAGGCAGCAGUGGGGAAUCUUGCGCAAUGGGCGAAAGCCUGACGCAGCGACGCCGUGUGCGGGAGGACGCCCUUCGGGGUGUAAACCGCUGUCAGGGGGGACGAACACAUGACGGUACCCCCAGAGGAAGCACCGGCUAACUCCGUGCCAGCAGCCGCGGUAAUACGGAGG
RNAcentral lists this ribosomal RNA (506 nucleotides) under uncultured bacterium. RNAcentral describes it as "bacterial SSU rRNA". It matches the Rfam family "Bacterial small subunit ribosomal RNA", at positions 9 to 531 of the family's 1533-position model. The record is from RNAcentral.